CUAUAUAAUUCCUUAAACCUAAAAAUUUAUUAAACUAAAACAUUCACCUUAUAUUUAAAGUAUAGGAGAUAGAAAUUUAUUUCAGGCGCCAUAGAAAAAGUACCGUAAGGGAAAGAUGAAAGAAUUAUUGACAGCAUAAGAAAGCAGAGAUUAACACUCUUACCUUUUGCAUAAUGAGUUAGC
RNAcentral lists this ribosomal RNA (183 nucleotides) under Nesolagus timminsi (Annamite striped rabbit). Its description in RNAcentral is "partial large subunit ribosomal RNA". The record is from RNAcentral. Lineage: Eukaryota; Metazoa; Chordata; Mammalia; Lagomorpha; Leporidae.